GCCGAAGGGGGCGCUGUCACUUUAACAGGAGGGGACACUAUUCAACGCGGGAACUGACUACGACGUAACACCUGUAUGAAAAAACAAACGGAACGCUUCCUUCAAUUUCAGAAAAUCUACGUUGUUGAUGUUGUCCACCUCCUCGUCCUGAUCGGUUUCCUUUCGCUCUUUGAUUGGUCCACGCUGGCAUAGGAGGCUCCAAUUCUCCUGGUCGUCCUCCUCUGUCUGGUACGCUGCCCAUCAACAUCUGUCGUACCUUGUAGACGGGGGUGCUUGUUCCAGCCCUGAUCGGCUCCAUGAGGAACUUAUCCUCUCUGGCGGCGAUCAGAAGAGCAGAGGACACUCGGGAGGAGCCAGAGAGGGA
Cyclopterus lumpus (lumpfish) is the source of this 364-nucleotide long non-coding RNA. RefSeq lists it as uncharacterized. Lineage: Eukaryota; Metazoa; Chordata; Actinopteri; Perciformes; Cyclopteridae. The record is from RefSeq and is a predicted model, not a curated record. The transcript has 3 exons.